CAGCAGCCGCGGUAAUACGUAGGUGGCAAGCGCUGUCCGGAAUUAUUGGGCGUAAAGGGCUCGCAGGCGGUUUCUUAAGUCUGAUGUGAAAGCCCCCGGCUCAACCGGGGAGGGUCAUUGGAAACUGGGAAACUUGAGUGCAGAAGAGGAGAGUGGAAUUCCACGUGUAGCGGUGAAAUGCGUAGAGAUGUGGAGGAACACCAGUGGCGAAGGCGACUCUCUGGUCUGUAACUGACGCUGAGGAGCGAAAGCGUGGGGAGCGAACAGGAUUAGAUACCCGUGUAGUCCCUGUCUCUUAUAC
This 301-nucleotide ribosomal RNA is filed under the name uncultured bacterium. RNAcentral's name for it is "partial 16S ribosomal RNA". It matches the Rfam family "Bacterial small subunit ribosomal RNA", at positions 509 to 807 of the family's 1533-position model. The record is from RNAcentral.